AGUCGAGAAUCUUUCACAAUGGGGGAAACCCUGAUGGAGCGACGCCGCGUGGAGGAUGAAGGUCUUCGGAUUGUAAACUCCUGUCAUGUGAGAACAAGGAAUGUGGAUUAAUACCCCGCAAACUUGCUGGUAUCACAAGAGGAAGGGACGGCUAACUUCGUGCCAGCAGCCGCGGUAAUACGAAGGUCCCAAGCGUUGUUCGGAAUUACUGGGCGUAAAGGGAGCGUAGGUGGCGCGGAAAGUCAGAUGUGAAAUCCCGGGGCUCAACCUCGGAACUGCAUCCGAUACUCCCGCGCUCGAGGACUGGAGAGGAACCUGGAAUUCACGGUGUAGCAGUGAAAUGCGUAGAUAUCGUGAGGAACACUAGUGGCGAAGGCGAGGUUCUGGACAGUUCCUGACACUGAGGCUCGAAGGCCAGGGGAGCGAA
Molecule: ribosomal RNA, 427 nt
Filed under: uncultured Verrucomicrobiaceae bacterium
Lineage: Bacteria; Pseudomonadati; Verrucomicrobiota; Verrucomicrobiia; Verrucomicrobiales; Verrucomicrobiaceae
Description: bacterial SSU rRNA
Rfam family: Bacterial small subunit ribosomal RNA
Source: RNAcentral